GCUGGGGCUGUGAAGACAUAGGACAGGGAUGAUCUUCUCAUGAACUGCCGUUACAUUCUGGACACUUCCCUGCUUCCGUGGAGCUUGGAUCAUGAACCCCGUGGCAUCAAAACUGCCAGGUAUCUCUCUCUAUCCAGAACCUCGUGCCUGACACUAGAUGGGUGCCACGAGAUGCUCAAUAAAUGGUAGCUGUUUGUAUGUCGCUUUGAACGCCUCACAGCAUUUUUCAUCGUUUGAGUCUCCUGUAUUCUUACAAGAAGCCUCAGGCAAAUGGGCGGUAUUCCCGUUUUACAAGCAGAAGCUGAGAGUGGUUUCCAAGUGACUUCCCCAGUGCGGUGGGUUAGGGGGAAACCGACUGCAUCUGACAGAGGAGGCACAGUGC
This is a long non-coding RNA of Eptesicus fuscus (big brown bat), 382 nucleotides long. RefSeq lists it as uncharacterized. NCBI's taxonomy places the organism in Eukaryota, Metazoa, Chordata, Mammalia, Chiroptera, Vespertilionidae. The record is from RefSeq and is a predicted model, not a curated record. The transcript is spliced from 3 exons.